This 253-nucleotide ribosomal RNA is filed under the name uncultured bacterium. RNAcentral's name for it is "partial 16S ribosomal RNA". It matches the Rfam family "Bacterial small subunit ribosomal RNA", at positions 524 to 776 of the family's 1533-position model. The record is from RNAcentral.
UACGGAGGAUGCGAGCGUUAUCCGGAUUUAUUGGGUUUAAAGGGUGCGCAGGCGGUCUGUUAAGUCAGCGGUCAAAGCCCGGGGCUCAACCCCGGCCCGCCGUUGAAACUGGCAGUCUCGAGUUGGAGAGAAGUAUGCGGAAUGCGCGGUGUAGCGGUGAAAUGCAUAGAUAUCGCGCAGAACUCCGAUUGCGAAGGCAGCAUGCCGGCUCCACACUGACGCUGAGGCACGAAAGCGUGGGUAGUCGAACAGG